UUGCUAAAUUGAAACACGACUGUACACAGCUCCUAAACUGGAGUGGUCAAUCCCAUCUUGACACACGCACUAACAAGUCAAGUACUUGACUACACCCAGCAGCCUUCCGUCACUGAAUUAAAAAUUUAGGUAGUCCAGUGCCUAAGUGCAGUGAGUUGCUUGCAAGUCACCAUGGUGAUCUCAGGUCGGAGGGAUAUUUAUACCCAUA
This 208-nucleotide long non-coding RNA is filed under the name Elaeis guineensis (African oil palm). Its description in RNAcentral is "long non-coding RNA (EGUI_LNC044787)". The record is from RNAcentral. Lineage: Eukaryota; Viridiplantae; Streptophyta; Magnoliopsida; Arecales; Arecaceae.